RNAcentral lists this non-coding RNA (125 nucleotides) under Kushneria sp. RNAcentral's name for it is "TPP sequence". It matches the Rfam family "TPP riboswitch aptamer (THI element)". From Rfam's summary of the family: Vitamin B(1) in its active form thiamin pyrophosphate (TPP) is an essential coenzyme that is synthesised by coupling of pyrimidine and thiazole moieties in bacteria. The previously detected thiamin-regulatory element, thi box was extended, resulting in a new, highly conserved RNA secondary structure, the THI element, which is widely distributed in eubacteria and also occurs in some archaea. Lineage: Bacteria; Pseudomonadati; Pseudomonadota; Gammaproteobacteria; Oceanospirillales; Halomonadaceae. The record is from RNAcentral.
UGUUGCUUGACGGGGUGCCGGUGGAACCGGCUGAGAUCGUUCUGCGCCAGAACCUGGCGCCACGACGGAUCCCGAUGAACCUGAUCCGGCUAGUACCGGCGUAGGGACUCAAGGCAUACCGGCUG